CCUACGGGAGGCAGCAGUGAGGAAUAUUGGUCAAUGGACGAGAGUCUGAACCAGCCAAGUAGCGUGAAGGAUGACUGCCCUAUGGGUUGUAAACUUCUUUUAUAAAGGAAUAAAACGAGGCACGUGUGCCUUUUUGCAUGUACUUUAUGAAUAAGGAUCGGAUAACUCCGUGCCAGCAGCCGCGGUAAUACGGAGGAUCCGAGCGUUAUCCGGAUUUAUUGGGCUUAAAGGGAGCGUAGAUGGGUUGUUAGGUCAGUUGUUAAAGUUUGCGGCUCAACCGUAAAAUUGCAAUUGAUACUGGCAGUCUUGAGUACAGUUGAGGUAGGCGGAAUUCGUGGUGUAGCGGUGAAAUGCUUAGAUAUCACGAAGAACCCCGAUUGCGAAGGCAGCUUACUAAACUGUGACUGACAUUGAUGCUCGAAAGUGUGGGUAUCAAACAGGAUUAGAUACCCGGGUAGUC
RNAcentral lists this ribosomal RNA (460 nucleotides) under uncultured bacterium. RNAcentral describes it as "partial 16S ribosomal RNA". It matches the Rfam family "Bacterial small subunit ribosomal RNA", at positions 338 to 795 of the family's 1533-position model. The record is from RNAcentral.